CGCGAGGUAGAGCAGUUGGUAGCUCGUCGGGCUCAUAACCCGGAGGCCGCAGGUUCAAGUCCUGCCCUCGCAACCA
This 76-nucleotide transfer RNA is filed under the name Campylobacter sp. RNAcentral's name for it is "tRNA-Met". It matches the Rfam family "tRNA". From Rfam's summary of the family: Transfer RNA (tRNA) molecules are approximately 80 nucleotides in length. Their secondary structure includes four short double-helical elements and three loops (D, anti-codon, and T loops). Lineage: Bacteria; Pseudomonadati; Campylobacterota; Epsilonproteobacteria; Campylobacterales; Campylobacteraceae. RNAcentral also lists the same sequence under 2 other names. The record is from RNAcentral.